UACCUUUUUUUUGUACCAAUAAAGGUUUGGACCCAUUCGAAAUUUGGAUGUGAUAAUGCUAAAAUACGCUAAAAUAUAAAGUUAUAGAUUGAUAUUAUAAUAAUUACCAAAUGUGCAUUCAGCCCUUGGUGAUAUUACUACAUUAUUAUGCUAGUAUUUGACUAGCAUCUUCAAAGUACACACCAUUCUCUUACACUUUCCAGUAGCUAUGAAAUGACCAGCUGCUACAUUUUGUCUGCUAUAAAUCUUAAAAUUGAAACUUUGACGUUUUCAACCGCCAAGUGAAGGAAACCGCCGGCUCCCCCAAAAGAGAAUCAGGACUAUAAACUGCUGUGAAUCACCGAUGUCGGACCACAUGACACGCUACUCUAUCCCUCGUAAUCCCUCCCACAAGGGAGAGGUCAGGGCUGUUAUUCCGCGUCCUCCUCCAUCAUCCAGGUGCCUCCCGACCGAGUUUCCAAAAACCCCUUCAAACUCCCCCCGUUUGUGUCUCAGGACGAGGCGGCGAAAUGGAAAAAGAAUCCGUUAAAUCUCUAUGUCUCCAGCAGAUGUGGCGGCUCUGGUUUCUUUGUAUUUUAUAUCAAAAAACCCGGAGAAGUCGCCACGACGCGAUGGCAGGGACCUCGCGUGAGACGCAAAGCUCUUAACGACAACGUCCAUGGCUUGGUUUAAAAGAGAAGUGCAAAAAAAAAAUCCAUCCCAAGCGCUGUAUCUGUUCACGUUGGGAAAAAGUCUUUAAUCUCAAACCCUUGGAACUGGGAUCAAGCGAGCGCGGGUCUAUCGCUGAGCAGAGGGCGUGCGCUGUUAAACGAUCAAUAAAAGUAUUAUUAGGAUCCGCCUUUCCAACAUUGUGAUCUCUGUUUUCACGGAGAAAAUGUAAAAUAUCAAAGGCUGCGGCCUCCAUGAUGGAAAGGUGCCUCUGCGGACUGAACUGAGUGUUCCUGCUGGUUCUUAAACAGAGUGAUUUUCCUCUCUCAAACGCUCUAAAUCUUCUAUUUUACAACCUCGCCGGUCCAGUUUUGAUGAUCCACGACUCUCGUAUCACUGCGUAUUAAUCCAUGAAACAAAACUAACGAUUCCUGUGCAUUUGCCUGGCAAAGCAAAAAGAAUAUAAUGAUGUCCCUGGAAACAUCUGGAUUAUAGAAAUAACCUGAUGAAAUAUAAUUGAAUUGAAUUCUGCUUUUUUUUUUCUUUCUCAGUGCAGAUUUGCGGUUUCCAUGUUUCCUGAUGAUCUGAAUGCUACUGUGUUGCCUUCAGUCUCACGGUCUCUGAGGCUUGGGGACCUUCAAGGUCUGCUCUCUCAUAAUUGUUUCCCAAAAGGCACAACGGUGAGGUGUUGUUUGCUCUGUGGCGACCUCACAAAACCAUGCUUUCAGUAGGCAAUGACCUCCCGUUCUACCAAGCGAUGCAGAAGCAUUUUAAAACUUGCCUUCUAUCCGCUGACCACCUAUAGUAGUACACGAGAAAAUGACUACUUCUCUUGUUUUUUAGUAAACUAUAGACCAUUUAGAGUCAAAUAGACAAUAAAGCAGGGCAUGCCUUAGGGCGGGUCUACCUUUUGAUUGACAUAUAAGACUGUCCGUUUUAGCGUCUUUCAGCACAUCGAUUUUUGUAGUUUUUUUUCCGUUGGAGGAGACCGAACCAGAGCUAAAAGGAAAGUGAGCGUUCCACUAAAAUUCAUCAAGUAGCUUUGAACACAGCUUCAAGCAAAUGCCAAUGUUCCUCUGCCUCUGCUUGUAAAUACCCAACUAAUGUUCUCCCUUUAGGUAAUGCUUAUGUUGGUUUGGAGUCAUUGGUGGGUUAGCAGUGUUUACACACACCACAUCCACAGUGGUAAAUUCUGUUAACACAGAUGUCAGCAACAUGGUCGAGGUCCAAUCAUGUACUAUUAAAAAUCUGGCCUGUAUAAAGACACUUUGGGUUAAUUUGUGGUGUAAAACAAAAGUGACGAGCCUAUAAGCUGGAACAUCUCAGAUUUCUCUUUUUAUUUUCAUAAAGAAAUCCGGUUGAUGGAUGGCGAUUGUUAAGGCUGCUUAUUGAAGCCCACCUGACCCUGAUUUACUCUCCGGUCCACCGUGUUUUUGAGUCGGAGCCGGUGGUCCACUCUUCAUCCGUGAUUUAUAAGCAACUCUUGAGCCAGAGUGAAAACAACCAGUGCCAUAUAGAUUUCCUGCUGACGGAGAAAUACGCGGGCAAAAGGAAUUGGCGGGCGAACACUUGGGCGUCCCGAACGCGACAAACACCGACGUAUUCAUUUUUAUUUUAGUUUUUCAUGCCAUUUUGCCGCUCCAGAUUGCCCUCAAAAUAACCCAGAAAAAUCGAAUGUAGGCUGGUGCGGCGUCACAAGUGAAACCCAAGUCGUUUUUUAGUAGUGGUGGUAUUUCAUCCCUUAAUGGGGCUGUCAGAGGGAAUUACUCUCUCCCCUCCCAAUAACCCUGGUAUUACCAUCAACACAGCAACACCGCUCAUGUAUUUGUGUGUGUGUGUGUGUGUGUGUGUGCGCCAUAGAGAAGGAGGGAGGACGUAGAAGUGACUACAGAGAGACGAGAUACAUAGGCGGAGGAGAGACCUCGAGACUGUGUGCGCGCGUGCAUGUGUGUGGUUUUGUCAUUAGUGUUGAAGGGUUAUUACGGGUUCCCAGACUGACUGGCCACUGCAGUAACAAUGUGCUAAUGCAUGUCUGUCUUCCAUUUCUUUCUCCUCUUCAUAAUUCCCUCUAAUUCGCUCCCUCUCUAAACACCUACGUGAAAGUAAAAGUGAGCGAAGUAAAGUUCUUGAGCUCGGUGGCGGAAGAGGUGUUCGAGUCCCACAGUAAACGGACUGUGAAACUGUGUAAUUACACAUUUUCUGCAAACAAACACGUCCUUGACACAUUUGUAGUCGGCGGACUGAAUGUUUGGGUUUCAGGGAGAAUUUCAUUUCGUUGGCACAUCCCAGAAACCAGAGCGGGUAAGUUUUAGGGACCAGUGUUUGCGCGGAAACCGCCUUCUAAUGGGGAGGCAGGAGUUUUGGUCCCUUAAGGAUCAGAUCUGACAGCGUAGAGUGUAGUAGGACGUUGACGCACAAUGCAGCGGGAGGAAACUACAUGUUCGUUUGCUUCUGCUUUGAGACCGUUUUGAUAUAUUUUCAGCGUGAAAGUACCCAACAACAGGAAAUCAAAAGGUUUGGCUCAACUUUUCUUUCUCAAUAUGUUGUUUCUGAGCGUCUAUCACAAAUGACGGAGUCCUUCAUUCACACACUGGAGUAAUACAAUGAGGAGCAAGUGGUUCAAAGUCCUGAAAAUGCUGGCGAACUUUAGGGAAGUACAGGGAGCUAGAUCCAGGAGAGUUCUGGCUUGGCAUUGCGUAAAGAGGCCCUUAAAUCAGGUGAAUAUACACAAAAAAUACAUUUCUAUUCCAAAUUAGAUCCCGUACAGGAAGUCCAAAACGUUUUCUUUGGUAACAUCGUUAGCCGAAGCCAACGCAGGGAAACGGAACCGAUUCUCUGAGAAUCUCAUGUCGCUCCGCUGCUCGGCCCCACCGAGCCGGAGUGAGAUUUUAAAGAGUAAGACGGCCGCUUGGCCCGGACUCGUGUUUCAUUUGAGCAGAAAUGGUAUUUCCCCCUUCGUGGUGGUCAGGGAGCUUCUGCCAAAGAGCGUGAGGCCUGCGUUGUGCAAAGUGUGACCUUCAUGAUGAGGAGAAUCCUAUCUGAAGAGCACAAAGGAAAAGAUGGACACCAGCCGGUGUUAUUUCAGCUGCAUUACUGUCGCACUGUAAAUACAGUUAAGUUCCCUUUUGUUAGAUAACUGUGAAUUUGAUCCGUGCAGCUUUUGACUUUUGGUCUGAGGAAAAACCACCAACUUGACUCGGACACAUCAUCAGUGAAUGUGUUUCAUUCAGGCGGCCGUAUAGUUACAGUCUGUUUCCCGACUCUCCUUUGUUCCUACAGGACGCUCUGACACAACUCCUUUCCAUCCUGAGGCCUUUCUUUGUUGCGUGUGUGCAGUAAAUGUUCUACAAAAUGCCCAAAUUAGGCUGAGUUCACAAGGU
Molecule: long non-coding RNA, 4028 nt
Organism: Gasterosteus aculeatus aculeatus (three-spined stickleback)
Lineage: Eukaryota; Metazoa; Chordata; Actinopteri; Perciformes; Gasterosteidae
Source: Ensembl